CCGUGACUGUAAUCAAAAGCAAUUCUAACGAAAGUCAUGUAGUGAUAAACAAACCUAAAAAAGUUAGUGCUGGAUUUGAGACAACAAGUAAUAAUCAAGAUCAAUUCCCGUCGGGAGCAGUUGAAAGAGGAAACGUAAUCGAGUUGUGGUGGUCAAGAAAUAUGGAGUUAGGGCAAAGAGAACGGACUUAGAGAUGGAGCCUCUUCCUUUAGAUGAUGAUGAGGAUGACGAAACUGUAUUUGAUGUUAGCAAUAUUAAUAAUAGAUAAUAUAUGUAA
Molecule: long non-coding RNA, 277 nt
Organism: Aethina tumida (small hive beetle)
Lineage: Eukaryota; Metazoa; Arthropoda; Insecta; Coleoptera; Nitidulidae
Exons: 2
Source: RefSeq, a predicted model, not a curated record